GUGCUCGCUUCGGCAGCACAUAUACUAAAAUUGGAACCAUACAGAGAAGAUUAGCAUGGCCCCUGCGCAACGAUAACAUAUAAAAUACUCCAAUUAUGU
Molecule: small nuclear RNA, 99 nt
Organism: Equus asinus (donkey)
Lineage: Eukaryota; Metazoa; Chordata; Mammalia; Perissodactyla; Equidae
Source: Ensembl